This 450-nucleotide ribosomal RNA is filed under the name uncultured bacterium. RNAcentral's name for it is "partial 16S ribosomal RNA". It matches the Rfam family "Bacterial small subunit ribosomal RNA", at positions 354 to 796 of the family's 1533-position model. The record is from RNAcentral.
GUGGGGAAUCUUCCGCAAUGGACGAAAGUCUGACGGAGCAACGCCGCGUGAGUGAUGAAGGUCUUCGGAUUGUAAAGCUCUGUUAAUCGGGACGAAAGAGCCUAGUGUGAAUAAUGCUAGGAAGUGACGGUACCGGAAUAGAAAGCCACGGCUAACUACGUGCCAGCAGCCGCGGUAAUACGUAGGUGGCAAGCGUUGUCCGGAAUUAUUGGGCGUAAAGCGCGCGCAGGCGGAUCUGCCAGUCUGUCUUAAAAGUUCGUGGCUUAACCCCGUGAUGGGAUGGAAACUACAGAUCUAGAGUAUCGGAGAGGAAAGUGGAAUUCCUAGUGUAGCGGUGAAAUGCGUAGAUAUUAGGAAGAACACCAGUGGCGAAGGCGACUUUCUGGACGAAAACUGACGCUGAGGCGCGAAAGCCAGGGGAGCGAACGGGAUUAGAAACCCUGGUAGUCC